UCCUGGCUCAGGAUGAACGCUAGCUACAGGCUUAACACAUGCAAGUCGAGGGGAAACGACAUCGAAAGCUUGCUUUCGAUGGGCGUCGACCGGCGCACGGGUGAGUAACGCGUAUCCAACCUGCCCACCACUUGGGGAUAACCUUGCGAAAGUAAGACUAAUACCCAAUGACAUCCAUAGAAGACAUCUGAAAUGGAUUAAAGAUUUAUCGGUGAUGGAUGGGGAUGCGUCUGAUUAGCUUGUUGGCGGGGUAACGGCCCACCAAGGCGACGAUCAGUAGGGGUUCUGAGAGGAAGGUCCCCCACAUUGGAACUGAGACACGGUCCAAACUCCUACGGGAGGCAGCAGUGAGGAAUAUUGGUCAAUGGGCGAGAGCCUGAACCAGCCAAGUAGCGUGCAGGACGACGGCCCUAUGGGUUGUAAACUGCUUUUAUAAGGGAAUAAAGUGAGUCUCGUGAGACUUUUUGCAUGUACCUUAUGAAUAAGGACCGGCUAAUUCCGUGCCAGCAGCCGCGGUAAUACGGAAGGUCCGGGCGUUAUCCGGAUUUAUUGGGUUUAAAGGGAGCGUAGGCCGGAGAUUAAGCGUGUUGUGAAAUGUAGAGGCUCAACCUCUGCACUGCAGCGCGAACUGGUCUUCUUGAGUACGCACAACGUGGGCGGAAUUCGUGGUGUAGCGGUGAAAUGCUUAGAUAUCACGAAGAACUCCGAUUGCGAAGGCAGCUCACGGGAGCGCAACUGACGCUGAAGCUCGAAAGUGCGGGUAUCGAACAGGAUUAGAUACCCUGGUAGUCCGCACGGUAAACGAUGGAUGCCCGCUGUUGGCCUGAAUAGGUCAGCGGCCAAGCGAAAGCAUUAAGCAUCCCACCUGGGGAGUACGCCGGCAACGGUGCAACUCAAAUGAAUUGACGG
RNAcentral lists this ribosomal RNA (909 nucleotides) under uncultured Bacteroidota bacterium. RNAcentral describes it as "bacterial SSU rRNA". It matches the Rfam family "Bacterial small subunit ribosomal RNA", at positions 17 to 916 of the family's 1533-position model. Lineage: Bacteria; Pseudomonadati; Bacteroidota. The record is from RNAcentral.